AAUUCUAUUGAUUUGAGAGAGAGAGAGAGAGAGAGCGAGGCGAAGCAGAAUUUGAUUCCUCUUCGCAUUUUAUCGUGUUUCUCUGUUGAUGCGGGCCCAAGAACCAGCCAUCGAAGGCGGAGCUCGCCAGGAAGCAGAGGAUCGUCGAGGAGGAAGACCUUUGGGGGUUGAAGAACAAGAACACAGAGCAAGAAUGUCCGUUCCCUGCCCCCUCACUAGUCGAUGGAUUCCUCGCUGAUCUAACAACUACAGUAACGGGAGGGGGAGGAGGAGGAAGAGAAGGCGUCGGCCAGCCCAAAGUUCCAAUUAAUAAAUAGGGGGGUUUUCGUCGUCUUCUUUUCCUCUUGGUCUCUGUUGUAUUACCGAUGCGCGUGUUGAUGUUCUUAGGGUUAUCGACUUGCUUAUGUGUAGACGCUAGUUCCGCGAGGCGGGCAGGUACCAAAAGGGUUCCGACUGCAAGUUCUCGCAUGAUCUCUAUGCCCAGAGGAAGGGCGUGGGGAUCGACCUCUACAGCGACCAACGCGGUCAAGUAAGGGAAACGCAAAAAGAGGAAGAAAGAGAAGCUGGUUUUGCUGCAAUGAGCGCUGAGCAAGCUAACAAUGAUUGGAUAAGUUGUGGUAAUUCGUUAAUUCCAUCAGAUUCAAGUGACGUUGAGGCACAUGAGAAGUACGCAAGGGAAGAACCAUUUACUGAAGAAGCUGCUGAGUGUCUAUUUGAGGCAGCAUAAACCAGAAGUGGUUUCACACAACCAAAAUCCCCUGUUGACAUUAGCAAUUUUAGGCCACCCUUGCCAUGAAAUAAAAAUUAUUUAUACACCCUUAUAAUUAAUCUUCACCAAUCGGCAGUUAUAUAGUUAGUAGUCGUAAUUAUCACUAAGACCUUUCAAAAUCAUUUUGAUAGUUUAACCAACUAGAAAUGAUUAGUUUUAAUUCUUUUGAUGAAUAUGGCUUCCUAAUCGAAAGAAAAUAUAUAUGUUGUAUUAAAAUUUAUAAUGACAAAUAUGGUGUUCCCAGACCUUGCAAAUAGUCCUACUGAAUUGGAAGGCGAAGAACUGAAGCUAAAAUCUGAAACAGUAAGGGAACCCAAAGCCAGCACUAGUCACAGAGUCUUCACUCCGUUGCUACGACACCUUCGAUAAAGAAGACAAGCAACGGAGACACAACACACAUCCACUGUGGAUGAUGGAGGUAAUACAGGCAUAGGCAACUCAUCAGCUUCGGCCUCCUCGAGAGCCGUCGCGAACAGGGGUGGUCGACGCCGGGCUGCCACCGCAGCCGGCUUCGGCCUGGCAGCUGUGAUCUCCGGGAGCACUGGAGCCGACGGCUGAGGUGAACUCCUUGAAGAUCCUGACCUUGAUCUGUCCUCUCUUGGGGUAAGGGUUUCCGGCUGGCUUCUCGGGGUACUUAGGACCUGUCGAGUUCUCCAUCUCGAGGGGACUUAAUGGGCGAUAGAGAAGAGAAGAAGAGGCCAAGAGAUGAAGCGAGUGCCGGAGGAUUGGUUAUCUUUGGAGGGUGAGCAGCACCGUGCACGGGAAGAAGGGCGUGGGUACGUUUAUGUAGGGGGGCUGCAAAUGGAUCGGAUCUGCAAACGAUACCCGAAUCCACCUUUAAUCAAAUCAUGGCCUUUAGGAACUCCAAUUAACACUCCGACAAUAAUGCGUAUACAUCCUCCUAUUUAAUAUUUUUGUGUUCAUCAUUUUAAAUCCAAUUGUAGCGGAAUUAGUAAUAAUCAUGGGAGGCCACCAGUAAGAUGCGAUGACUCGAGUGUCAAGCUUGUGAUUGCCACUUGCAGGGUCUCACCGCCCACGCGAUUAAGUGCGGCCCCACUCCAUCCAAACUUCACAUCAUAAGAUUGUGUUCUUCCUCGCCGACGUGACAAUGGUCUCCCAUUAUUCUCCGUUCUCUAUCCAAGAAUGGAUUUAAUCUUGUGUACACAUGUGAGAAUUUAUUUAUUUAUAUAAAAUUAAAUACUUACUAGUUGA
Musa acuminata AAA Group (dessert banana) is the source of this 1981-nucleotide long non-coding RNA. RefSeq lists it as uncharacterized. The transcript has 5 exons. The record is from RefSeq and is a predicted model, not a curated record. NCBI's taxonomy places the organism in Eukaryota, Viridiplantae, Streptophyta, Magnoliopsida, Zingiberales, Musaceae.